GCUCAGAACGAACGCUGGCGGCGCGCCUAAUACAUGCAAGUCGAGCGAGAAGACGUAGCAAUACGUUUGUAAAGCGGCGAACGGGUGAGGAAUACAUGGGUAACCUACCCUCGAGUGGGGAAUAACUAGCCGAAAGGUUAGCUAAUACCGCAUACGACUCUUGAUCUGUGGAUCGAGAGAGAAAGCGAUACCGUGGGUAUCGCGCUCCUGGAUGGGCUCAUGUCCUAUCAGCUUGUUGGUGAGGUAACGGCUCACCAAGGCUUCGACGGGUAGCUGGUCUGAGAGGACGAUCAGCCGCACUGGCACUGCGACACGGGCCAGACUCCUACGGGAGGCAGCAGUAAGGAAUAUUGCGCAAUGGGCGACAGCCUGACGCAGCGACGCCGCGUGGGGGAUGAAGGUCUUCGGAUUGUAAACCCCUUUCGGCAGGGAAGAUGGGACGGGCAACCGUUCGGACGGUACCUGCAGAAGCAGCCACGGCUAACUUCGUGCCAGCAGCCGCGGUAAUACGAAGGUGGCAAGCGUUGUUCGGAUUUACUGGGCGUACAGGGAGCGUAGGCGGUUGUGUAAGCCCUCCGUGAAAUCUCCGGGCCUAACCCGGAAAGUGCGGAGGGGACUGCUCGGCUAGAGGAUGGGAGAGGAGCGCGGAAUUCCCGGUGUAGCGGUGAAAUGCGUAGAGAUCGGGAGGAAGGCCGGUGGCGAAGGCGGCGCUCUGGAACAUUUCUGACGCUGAGGCUCGAAAGCGUGGGGAGCAAACAGGAUUAGAUACCCUGGUAGUCCACGCCUUAAACGAUGGAUACUAAGUGUCGGCGGGUUACCGCCGGUGCCGCAGCUAACGCAGUAAGUAUCCCGCCUGGGAAGUACGG
RNAcentral lists this ribosomal RNA (866 nucleotides) under uncultured bacterium. Its description in RNAcentral is "bacterial SSU rRNA". It matches the Rfam family "Bacterial small subunit ribosomal RNA", at positions 22 to 885 of the family's 1533-position model. The record is from RNAcentral.